GGCUCUAUGGUGUAAUGGAUAACAUAACAGAUUCCGGUUCUGUUGAUUGGGGUUCGAAUCCCUAUAGAGUCA
RNAcentral lists this transfer RNA (72 nucleotides) under Rhodocytophaga rosea. It matches the Rfam family "tRNA". Rfam says of the family: Transfer RNA (tRNA) molecules are approximately 80 nucleotides in length. Lineage: Bacteria; Pseudomonadati; Bacteroidota; Cytophagia; Cytophagales; Rhodocytophagaceae. The record is from Rfam by way of RNAcentral.